UACGGAGGGUGCAAGCGUUGUUCGGAAUCACUGGGCGUAAAGCGCGUGUAGGCGGCCUCCUCAGUCUGGUGUGAAAGCCCGGGGCUCAACCCCGGAAGUGCAUUGGAUACUGGGAGGCUGGAGUACCGGAGAGGAGGGUGGAAUUCCUGGUGUAGCGGUGAAAUGCGUAGAUAUCAGGAGGAACACCGGUGGCGAAGGCGGCCCUCUGGACGGAUACUGACGCUGAGAAGCGAAAGCGUGGGGAGCAAACAGG
Molecule: ribosomal RNA, 253 nt
Filed under: uncultured bacterium
Lineage: Bacteria
Description: partial 16S ribosomal RNA
Rfam family: Bacterial small subunit ribosomal RNA
Source: RNAcentral